Molecule: non-coding RNA, 3116 nt
Organism: Paramormyrops kingsleyae
Lineage: Eukaryota; Metazoa; Chordata; Actinopteri; Osteoglossiformes; Mormyridae
Source: RefSeq, a predicted model, not a curated record
GCCUAUCGGAGUGCGGAGCUUCAGAGCUGCGAACGAGGCAAAACAAACCUAAGCGUGUUAGUUUCUAAAGAUAGUUUAUUUAGUUGUGAAGUCUUCCUUAAUUCCUCGUGUGUGUAACUUGAUAUAAAAUCCAACAGUAUACAGACCAAUACAGACUCAUACGGAAGUUAAUAAAUCCUCAUUAAAGAGUAAGCAUCGGAUGUGCCCUGUCCUAAGAGUGUUCUUAUCGAUACCCCAUGGCGACAACAAAUUCCACCUGAACUAGUGCAGAGCCUCACCUACAAAGUGGUCCUUCGAGCCCGAUGGGUUGUCACCAUGACGUUCCCAGGGCACAGGACCUCCAGCUCCGCACCUACUUCCUGUCAGCAUCCAGGCAGAGUGACGCAGAGGCCAGCACGCUUUGAUGACUACCUGGUCAGCUAUACCGGUGAGCCAUCCACAGAUUCAGUCAGACGUAGUGAACCAGUAAUGGCUACACCAACUUCCCUUAGUCCUAAGUAGUCCGAGGACAUGACCAGUCCAACUGAUGACCUUAUGCAGCAGAUUGUGGCGAUCACAAGGCAGCAGAGUGAGACAGCUUGGCGCCAGACAGAACUCUUGGAGCAAGUGCUUCUGCACGGCACUCCAAGGGUAUCCUGCCAGUCCUCCAGAGCUUCAUCAUCUCACCAGACGCCUCAGGCCCCAAUCCCACUACAAUUAGAUCCAAGCCCGCAUGAUGUAUGUUCAAACCUGCCUCAUACGCCACCACCUCCACUGGCUCUGCAGAGUCCCCACCUGAGUAGCACCCAAUUCCCCUCUCCACCUCCUAUAAGCAGAGACCCAUCCCUUUCUGAGCAUUACUACACAUCACCAUGCCAUACCUCAGUUACAGAGAGGAUCUGACCAUAUCAGAGUAAAGAGUCAUUGCCCUUACGUCCAGUAUGGAAGCAGGACCCAUCAGUGCAACCCCACUUCUAGUCCUCCUACCAGCCAGAACAGGCAUAUGCUCCAAACCCCCCUUCUCCAUUGGGUCCUGAGCUCCAUGUGCAGCCUGCCCCAACUGCAACACCACUCCCCUUGUUCAGUCAGCAGUUCAGGAUCCCCUUCAAUCUAAUGUCAAUCCUAUGCCUUAUUACCCUGCCUAUUUCCCCCCUCAUGGAUUCCCAUUAGUUGAGGAGCCCACCUUUCCAGAUUUCACAAGGGAAGACAGGGUUCAAUAUGUUGAAUUUAGAAUAGCUUUGAGCAAUCUUCUUCACCCCAUUCUUUCCGAGCAUUAUAAGUAUUCAAUCCUCCUCAAGCAUGUGAAGGUCCCUAAUGCCCACAGACUCGUCCUAGCAUAUGCAGAGUCUUCCAUGCCCUACACUAACGCAUUGCAGGCACUAGGCAGAAGGUAUGGAUGACCCUAUCAGUUUGUGUUGAAAGAGAUUGAGACCUUAGAGAGUCUACCACUCAUUUGCACAGGAGAUGAACGAGCCUUUGAUGAAUUCUCCCUCCGUGUUCAGGCCAUAGUAAGAAUGCUCAAAGCCUUAAGAGAGGAUGGUAUUGAGGAGCUACAUAGUGGUUCCAAUGUGCAGCGUCUGUUGCGCAGGUUAACCUGCCAUGACAAGGCAAAGUUCUCCAUUAUUGGGUUUGCAGACUGGCUGCAGUUGGAGGCCAACUGCAUGGAAUUCGAUCCCACAAGGGCUACAGGAGGAAAGGGAGAGGUGAAGGAGCAGACGGCCAUAUCUCGGACUCAGAGGGCCACAACCAUACUGCAACAGAGCACAGUACGUCAGACAGUCCAAACUGCAUCAGCCCAGCCCAAACCUCCCAUGAAGGUCAAGCCCACUUGCCCGCAUUGUAACUCCACAGCACAUUACCUGAGUCAGUGCACUUCAUUUGCAGCCCUCAACAAGGAUCAGGCCAUUACCUGGAUAAAAGACAACGAACGCUGCUGGAGAUGCUCUCGAUCUCACCUAACAAAGGACUGUGACCUUAAGAAGCCCUGCCAUUUUUGCCAGGGUAAGCACUUAUCGGCCCUUCAUGACAUUAAUACACGAAACAGUGAGGCCAGCAAGGAAAGCAGUAGUCUCUACAAUGCCAUUACAGAAGCACUUUACCUGGAUCAGCCUUGCUAUGGGACUGAAGUGUUCCUGAAGGUUAUCCUGCACCAGCAGCUGAGGGCCCUGGAAACAUUUGCCAUCCUUGAUGAUGGUUCAGAGCGCACUAUUGUGCUUGCAGCCGCGGCACAACAGCUUGGAUUAGGUUCACAAGUUUCCACAGCCAUGAGAGGACAGGCCAUGACUUGCUGGUACAAUUUCCUAUUACAAAUUUAUUUGCGGCUGUGCUGAUUCCCAGCAGAUUUUUAUUUUUAAUAUUUCAAACUGCUUUGGAAUUCAUCAUGUUCUGGAUUCUGGUCAAAAGCAGAUGCCACCACAAAGCAGGAUCUACAAGAUGCAAAAUGACAAUGAAAUUUUAUCUAGAUUCAACCUAUUGGUUGAACACUCAUAAUUAAUCUCUCCUCCAGAAGAAACCCGGUGGAUUUCUGGUCCAUUUGGCCAGAGUGCUGGAGGGUUUCAGCCCAUCAACCAGCUGGGGAUGGUGAAGGUGCAGAGCACUGGGAGAUGCUCAUGGAGCAGCUAUUUUACAUCUUUACUGGUGUCUCCUUGAAGGACAUGAGCACCUACCAGAACCCAAACUGUACCAUAGAAGAGCAUACAAGAUUAUGUGGAUCUUGAAAAAGUCUCAUUUUUACCAAGCAAAAUUAAGCUAAAAUAAAGUGGUUAGUCGUCUAAAGGUUAAAUGUACAGAUUUUAUCGCGGUAUAGUUAAAAUGUGCUGCAAAUGUUCGCUAAGUAUUGAUACACAACCUGGAAAUAAACUGAAACAGCAAUAUAACUGGCAUGAUUUUUUUCCGUAGUUUACCUCGACAUCGGUAAUUGUUUUCAUCAACUUAUUUGUCUGUUACCCAAAUACAUGUAUUUUGUAGGGGGUGCCAUUUUUUUUACUAUGAGCGAAAUGACUCGGCUCUCACAACACAGCCUGCCUCGUUCGUCCUGACUGAAAAAUCACUGUAGCCUGUAAGCUAAAUGGCCAAACUUUGUCAGAAAUACGGUUAACAUUGGUUAACACAAAAUGUAACCUUACCUUUAUAAAAUA